GCAACUAUAGUAUAGUGUAAAAUACAUUACAUUUUCAAUGUAAAGAUGGAAAUUUAUUUUUCUAGUAGCU
Molecule: transfer RNA, 70 nt
Filed under: Ceriodaphnia cornuta
Lineage: Eukaryota; Metazoa; Arthropoda; Branchiopoda; Diplostraca; Daphniidae
Description: tRNA-Glu
Rfam family: tRNA
About the family: Transfer RNA (tRNA) molecules are approximately 80 nucleotides in length. Their secondary structure includes four short double-helical elements and three loops (D, anti-codon, and T loops).
Source: RNAcentral